GUCCCUAGUGUUGACAGUGGGUUACUUGCCAUUAAUUUGUAUACCCCUUCCAAAUUUAUUUCUCCAUGUUUAAUGCCUCAAAUUGCAAAUACGGGGGUGAAUUACACUGUAAAAAAAUUUGGGUCCAGAAUUUUAAAGGAAAGUAGUGAUUUGGUCCAUCUGAAAAAGGUUGAAAAUUAGCACUUCGGAAGCUGUCAAAAGAUUUCAAGACGCCCUAAACAAAAAAUUGUCCAUAUUUUGAGUUAGAGCCGAUGAAGUUUUCUAUAAUUUUGAUAUAAUUUGUCCCAAAAGUAGUACAACAC
Molecule: long non-coding RNA, 302 nt
Filed under: Mytilus galloprovincialis (Mediterranean mussel)
Lineage: Eukaryota; Metazoa; Mollusca; Bivalvia; Mytilida; Mytilidae
Source: RNAcentral